RNAcentral lists this unclassified non-coding RNA (947 nucleotides) under Leishmania donovani. RNAcentral's name for it is "gene:unknown". Lineage: Eukaryota; Euglenozoa; Kinetoplastea; Trypanosomatida; Trypanosomatidae. The record is from RNAcentral.
UCGACGUUCCCCUUCGUCUUUUCCAGCCCCUUUCAUCUGACGCGCAAACGACGACGCGACGGCAUCAUGAGCGCAUCGCGUUUUCCCUUGUUGGCAGCGGGAAGCUACGGAUGAAAACGCGCCAAAGGGCUGAAAAGCAGAGAGGAUGCUCGCUCUCUUUGGCACGACAGCACGACAGGUGCCCUUGGACGUUGUCCAUGCUGCUCGUUACACCCUCACGUGCGGCCAUGAGUUCUUCAUCCGCAGUGUCUAAUCCUGUACGCUACUUUUCCAUUGCUUCAUCACGGUUUCAGUGCAGUUCUUACAUUCUCCUUUACUGUUCGUUUUGCAUUUCCCUCUGCAUUGCGUUGUCGUCAACGUGUCACCAUGCGGCCUCCCAGCUCCCGGUUUUGUGAGGAAGCUGGCACGCCGACAGCUCGCUGCGCCCUCGGCGGUUUUGUGCGGGUGGCAGUCUACGCGGACUGCGCAACAAGAGAGACCCCCCUCCUCCCCCUUCCUCCCCCCUCACCAAUAUGUGUAAGCACACCUGCGACGGCGCAAGAAUGUGUGACGGCCCGUCUCGCAAGUAGCGUAAUGCCUGCGUGUGCUCUCCUCCACACAAAAACAUGUUGGAGCUCUGCUCCACCAGAGUCCAAGCGAUGCUACUCCCAUCGCCGUUAACGGGACGUUUUUGUGGGUCUGCCCAGAAGUCUUCUGAGCGGAUGCACGAGACCCGCGAGCGUAGCAAAGGCGCGGGGGAAAUGUGUUCGCCUAAAUGUUCGCAGAAUGCUGAAAACCGUGUGCAACUAUCAUGAGCGCCAGCAGUCUCCAUCACGUUUUUUUUUUCGCUCGCUCUUUGUCCCUUCUUCCACCCAUCAAGUCGCCCGUGAAGACUGUCUUUUUUUUUCCUCACGUGUGUGUGUGUGUGUGUGUGUGUGUGUGUGUCUGUUUGGAUAUGUAUCCGUUGG